Molecule: ribosomal RNA, 402 nt
Filed under: uncultured bacterium
Lineage: Bacteria
Description: bacterial SSU rRNA
Rfam family: Bacterial small subunit ribosomal RNA
Source: RNAcentral
UGGGGAAUAUUGCACAAUGGGGGAAACCCUGAUGCAGCAACGCCGCGUGAGUGAUGACGGCCUUCGGGUUGUAAAGCUCUGUCUUCAGGGACGAUAAUGACGGUACCUGCGGAGGAAGCCACGGCUAACUACGUGCCAGCAGCCGCGGUAAUACGUAGGUGGCAAGCGUUGUCCGGAUUUACUGGGCGUAAAGGGAGCGUAGGCGGACUUUUAAGUGAGAUGUGAAAUACCCGGGCUCAACCUGGGUGCUGCAUUUCAAACUGGAAGUCUAGAGUGCAGGAGAGNGGAGUGGAAUUCCUAGUGUAGCGGUGAAAUGCGUAGAGAUUAGGAAGAACACCAGUGGCGAAGGCGACGCUCUGGACUGUAACUGACGCUGAGGCUCGAAAGCGUGGGGAGCAAACA